CCUACGGGCGGCAGCAGUAGGGAAUCUUUCACAAUGGGCGAAAGCCUGAUGGAGCAACGCCGCGUGCAGGAUGAAGGCCUUCGGGUUGUAAACUGCUUUUAUAAGCGAGAAAUAUGAUGGUAACUUAUGAAUAAGGAUCGGCUAACUACGUGCCAGCAGCCGCGGUCAUACGUAGGAUCCGAGCAUUAUCCGGAGUGACUGGGUGUAAAGAGUUGCGUAGGUGGCAUAAUAAGUAGCUAGGGAAAUCUGGUGGCUCAACCAUUCAGACUAUUAGCUAAACUGUUAAGCUCGAGACCGUUAGGGGUAACUGGAAUUUCUAGUGUAGGAGUGAAAUCCGUAGAUAUUAGAAGGAACACCAAUAGCGUAGGCAGGUUGCUGGGACGGUUCUGACACUAAGGCACGAAAGCGUAGGGAGCAAACGGGAUUAGAUACCCGUGUAGUC
Molecule: ribosomal RNA, 442 nt
Filed under: uncultured bacterium
Lineage: Bacteria
Description: partial 16S ribosomal RNA
Rfam family: Bacterial small subunit ribosomal RNA
Source: RNAcentral